ACAUUCUAAAAAGGUUAUAGAGAAAACAUUAUAUGAUAUUUCUGAACUAAACUUUCAGAAUAAAGACUACUGCCAGCCAAUUCUUUUUAUGUUUACUUUAACAUAUGAUACAUCUUAGGAAUCCUUCCCAUAAGAGAUUAUUUUUCCCCAAAGGUUAUUUUUCCCCAUACAACAUACUUGGAAGUACAGAUAUUUAUUAGAAAAAGCAAAAUGAUGUAGGAUCAGUUCUUCAAAUAAAAA
This is a non-coding RNA of Pseudonaja textilis, 240 nucleotides long. Lineage: Eukaryota; Metazoa; Chordata; Lepidosauria; Squamata; Elapidae. The record is from RefSeq and is a predicted model, not a curated record.